This 515-nucleotide ribosomal RNA is filed under the name uncultured bacterium. RNAcentral describes it as "partial 16S ribosomal RNA". It matches the Rfam family "Bacterial small subunit ribosomal RNA", at positions 28 to 523 of the family's 1533-position model. The record is from RNAcentral.
GAUGAACGCUGGCGGCGUGCCUAAUACAUGCAAGUCGGGCGAAUGGAUUGAGAGCUUGCUCUUAUGAAGUUAGCGGCGGACGGGUGAGUAACACGUGGGUAACCUGCCCAUAAGACUGGGAUAACUCCGGGAAACCGGGGCUAAUACCGGAUAACAUUUUGAACCGCAUGGUUCGAAAUUGAAAGGCGGCUUCGGCUGUCACUUAUGGAUGGACCCGCGUCGCAUUAGCUAGUUGGUGAGGUAACGGCUCACCAAGGCAGCGAUGCGUAGCCGACCGGAGAGGGUGAGCGGCCACCCUGGGACUGAGACACGGCCCAGACUCCUACGGGAGGCAGCAGUAGGGAAUCUUCCGCAAUGGACGAAAGUCUGACGGAGCAACGCCGCGUGAGUGAUGAAGGCUUUCGGGUCGUAAAACUCUGUUGUUAGGGAAGAACAAGUGCUAGUUGAAUAAGCUGGCACCUUGACGGUACCUAACCAGAAAGCCACGGCCAACUACGUGCCAGCCGCCGCGGUAA